This is an RNA transcript of Prionailurus viverrinus (fishing cat), 2154 nucleotides long. It is a transcript of the gene named ankyrin repeat domain-containing protein 26-like, with no coding region annotated. The transcript has 11 exons. NCBI's taxonomy places the organism in Eukaryota, Metazoa, Chordata, Mammalia, Carnivora, Felidae. The record is from RefSeq and is a predicted model, not a curated record.
CGGCGCGGGCGGAGGCGCGGCGCGGCCUGACGUAACCGGGCGCUCGGCCCCGCCGAACGCGGCUGACGCUGCGCGGCCAGAGAGCAGGCCCCGCCGCCGCCUGGGCUUGGAACGCAGCGCGCGCGGCCAUGGCCUCCGGCGCCGCAGCUAAGCGGGCGCAGGGCGAGCGGGCGGCGGGACGGCAGCCCCGGCCCCGGCCCCGGCCCCAGCGCGGGGCUGACCGUGUGCCCCCUCGUCUCGUCCCACAGAGGCGGACCCUCGACAGAGGCUGCUGCGCACCGUCAAGAAGGAGGUACCGUAAGUUCCCGGUGAGGAAUCCGAGUUUUCAAGGACUGGGUAGAAUCGACGGAGGAGAUAAGAAUGCUGAGGAAGACUCUAUAACCAGGCUUUCUGACAAACCUGGUCCUGGAGAUUCAUGGCCUACAUCAGCUAGCCAAGACGUAGAUUUCGGUACCAAGGAAGGAACAGCAAAGUCAGCAAUGGAAGCAAAGGAAGAUGGUGUUGGUAUUAUUGAAAAUGUGCCACCAGAGCAAACAGUUAAUGACAGUGUGACUUCUGCUGGUGGAGUGCAUAAAAAUUGCAGAAGUGAUAUGAUGUCAGCAUUAGAAUUAGGAGAAGAGGAAGAUGUAGAAUCACCUUCUCUUCCUGAGUUGCAAGAAGCACAGGAUCGACAUGCAGAGGCCAUAAGACAUGCUGAGGAGAUGAAAGAUCAUAUGCAAAAGCUAAAAGUUCAACAUGCCAGAUGGGAAGAAACCAUUAAACAGCAAGUGGCCCAAAUUCAAGAUCUUCAGAGCAACUUGUUAAGGAUAAGUUUGAGGAACUUCAGCGGGGGGCUGGAUUGCAGGCACUGUCGCUGAAGGGGAAAAGGGUUCUUGGAGCCAUUUUUCAAGACCAGGUGGUGAAUACCCGACAGUACUUGGAACAUGUGAAAGACUCCACAACAGGAAUGCAAGGUAGAGUGGUGAAGCUAUUCACCAACCAUUUCCGAGUGACCUCUCGCCCUCAACUCCUCACGUAUAAGUACAACAUUGAUUAUAUGCCAGAGGUUGAAGAUGGAAAAGUUCGUACAGAUUUGCUCUGCCAGCAUAAACAUGUAAUUGGAGAGUGUCCCACAUUAGAUGGGAACUCUUUAUUACUGCCUCAUAAACUACAAAAGCAGGAAUUUUGAAGAUGAUGGAUUUGAAGCAAGUUGGUCGCAACUAUUACAACGAGAAUGAGGCCACGGAGUUCCUCAAUCGUAAGUACACAGUGGAAAGCCUCACAUUCUACAGACCUGACCAUAGAAGCAUUUGAGAAAGUGACUCUCAUUUGAAGCAGUAGGAUUUAUAAGUGAUGGUCUUUUCAGUGGUACCCACUGGCCAUGAACGAUUCAGUUAGAAUUUCAUGUAAAUUUGAAACGAAGUGAAAAGAUUCACUCUUACAGUCCUGGAAUGAUAAGCAUAAACCUUGAGGUAUUCGGUAGUUAUAUAAACCUCAUAAGAAGUCUAAAUCUUCUCAAAUUUGGAUAAUAAAUUUCUCUUAAAUACUUUCAAUCAUAGUAAUUAUAGCUACAUGUAUGUAUGUAUGUAUGUAUGUAUAUAUAUUGUGUAUAUGUUUAUACUUUAUACACCUAUAUCCUAUAUAUUCUCACAUACAUACAUACAUACGCAUGUGUGUGGCUAUAGGUGUGUGAGCCUGUGGGUGGUAACAAUAUGGUUUAACAAAGAGAGUGUAAGAGUUAUAACUAGCCCAUCAGGUAAAUCUCUAUUGGAAAGGUCCUUCAAAAGAUCAGUUCUUACUGGAAAUAAGAAAUUGAAACUGCUUGACUCCUAAGCACCAAUUUUAGACCCCAAGUUCCAACCCUGGGACGCUUGCUUCCUUGUUCAGAGCUUGGACUUUGACCCUUACGUCUAAUGUCUUCUGUUUGCAGGCUGGUAAUCUGGCCUGGAUAUAGUGCUUCUAUUCUUGAGUAUGAAACCAGCAUUACCCUCUGUGCUGAUGUGAACCACAAACUGCUCCGAAUGCAAACUGCUUGAUCUAAUAAUGCAUGUUGAUAACAAAUCCCAAAGGAAAGAUGCUAUGGAAAUUUUAAAGAAUUAGUUGGAUCAAUUGUUUUUACAUCUGUGUUCAUUAACUUUUUUAAUGUUUAUUCUUUUUUUUGAGAGAAGCAGAGAG